Salvelinus sp. IW2-2015 is the source of this 105-nucleotide long non-coding RNA. RefSeq lists it as uncharacterized. The record is from RefSeq and is a predicted model, not a curated record. NCBI's taxonomy places the organism in Eukaryota, Metazoa, Chordata, Actinopteri, Salmoniformes, Salmonidae.
AACUCUACUAGACAGGUAUCUAUAUAUCUAACUCUACUAGACAGGUAUCUAUAUAUCUAACUCUACUAGACAGGUAUCUAUAUAUCUAACUCUACUAGACAGGUA